GCGCAGAAGGCUGGGCAGGAUGUGGGCGGUGGGCAGGCCCGGAGACUGCUGCUCUUGGCCUGACUCUGGCAUUGGCUUGGCGUUCGGCUGCGGGGGAGCCGUGUGUGGGCUUGUCCCUGGGCAGCUGGCCUGCCUCCCCAGAGACAGGAGCCACAGGGGGCAGGAGAAUGGGACCUAGAAGCUAACUUGAUGAGCCUGUGGAAGGCAGAGGAGCCCAAACGGAAGCAGAGCUCGGAGAUGGACAUGGAUUCCACAAGCGAAGUUCGGCUGUGCCUGAAGCCGCUCCGCCCUGGGCUUUUCCAAGACGAGUAUUGUUAAGUUCCUUUUCUGCUCAAACCAGCGUGAAUUGAGUUUCUUCUCUGAUUCGCAGUCCCACAUCUGAGCCAGGCAGACCAUGCAGAGAAGAUGCCACGAAUGCACGAUAGUUGCAGGGAGUGUGACUGCAUCAUUUACUGAACAAGAAGAGACACUCUCCGAGACAGUGGAAGCAAACCAGGACUGUCCCAAGCAAACUGGGGCGCGUGACUACCCGCAGGGGCCCUUCUAUGGCCCCACUUCCCGAGCCGCCGGGCUCAUCGGGCCGCACCGGCCUCCCAUGGGAACUGCGCUCUGUCUGUCUUUCUACCUGGACAAAUCCUUUGAGCGCCUGGAUCUUCCUCGCAACUCUUGUUUCCACCGAACACUGCCUCCCCGGGGCUUUCCCUGACCCCCACCCCACCAGGCCCCAGCUUUCCUCUUCCUCCUCCCUUGCAGAGCCCCCAGCUCGGAGGCAGGUGGGGAGUGAGCCCACAAGGUGUGGGAGCACGAUUCUCAAGCAUCUGUCACCUUUCAGUAAAUACUUGUGUUCCCAGCUCUCACCUCCCAAGUGAACAUCAAGCUCCAGGGGGAGGUGGGGAGGUGAGAGGCGGAGGAGAGGGAGGAAAUGGAGUGAGUGGCAGGCAAGCGAGUCGGGGUUUUUCUGGCCCUGAGUGACAGACACACAGCACUGGCCCACAGAGUCCACCCGGAAACCAGAUGCACUCUGACCCCAGUCGCUCGGAUGCUUCUUUUAGAAGUAUUGGGAACCUGAAAGGGCCUGGAUUGGGAAGCAGCUCCCCCAGGCACCCCUGGCAGACACAGGCACAGAUUGUGCGGGUAGACAGAAGACACCAGAUAUGUUUACAAGUUUCCUAAUUGCCUCUGUCCUCUCUGAUACUGGGGCUCUAUAAAAUUGUCACAGCCGUGGCUGUCAUUUGGCCCUGGCUCGCUGCGCAUGCAUGCGGGUGUUUGUUUACAGAACGCAGCCGGCAGCAGGCCUUCAUGUGGGCUCUGACCCACCCCUCUGGCAGCUGGGAGGGGCUGGGCCCCCUCCAGGAUUCCCAGACAGAUUUGCUUCUUCAGAUUCUUUAAAGCAAAAAAACCCUGAGUAUUGGUGAUCACUCAGAAUCUUGGCAGAAAACUGAAUUCGGCCCUGCUGUUUCUAGUGAAGGCACUUCAGCAAAGGGACUAUCCAUGGGGUGUGACCAGGGCUGAGAGAAUCGAGGAGGGUGCCGAGGCCCUGACAGCAGCGGUCACCACCACUGCGGGCUCCAGGGGCGAGGUGGGCAUCAGUGUUGCACCCACGAGGACUGGGUGCGUGGAGGGCAGAGGACAAGCUUCCUGCCAGCGGCUGUGGUCUCAGAGACACGCAUAUGGGGCGCUGAGCAGGCAGAGAGCAGAGACGAAACUCUCCAACCCUUGUCUUCCUCACCUCACUGAUCUCCUGCUGGUGCCUGCCAUUAGCCAAACCAACAGGAAGCUGGGAGUGUGGGGGACCCUCAGUGCGCCCCACAUGGCCCAGCUCUCAGGGCAGGGCGUCCGAGUGGACUGGACCUCAGUGCAAACAAAGAAUAACCAGUGUGACUGGGUACAGCAUUCUGGGCUGAUUUGACGGCCAAGUUUGGUGGAAACUCUUCUUCUCCUAUCCCCUAAAUCUCUCUUGAACCCACCCACCUCUGUGCCACACAGGUGUUGCCCACCGUGACGUGCCCUCCACUCUCCAGUGCUCUCCAUGGCUCCUUGUGCUUCUGGCACAUUGACCAAAGUCUGAACUUGUGCAAGUGUGACAGUGUGACCCAGCUGACCCCUGGCCUCACCUCUCACCCUCACCCUUGCCCCCUGCUCGGCUCCACUCCUUGUGGUUACACUGGACAGUUUUCAGGAUCCAGAAUGUCGUGUUCCUUCCUGCUGCUGAAUUUUGUAUAUGCUGUUCCCUCUGCCUGGUUCUUUUGGCCUGACCCCCAGCUAUUUAUAAAUAAAUCUCUCCAAUUCUUCAUAUUUCAGCUUAAAAAUCACAUUCUUAAGAACAACUUCCCUGAGCCCACAAAGUGGGCAAAGGCUCCCUUCUCAUCCCCCCAGUUUCUUUACUUCACCAUGUGUGUCACGGCUGUAAUUAACGAAUCGACGGGCAAGGCUCUGCUCAUUGUCUGUCUCUCUUGAGAGAUGGUGAUCACCACGAGAGCCUGCUCUGUCUGUCUGGUUUGCUGCUCUGCCCAGCACAGAACCUGGCACAUAGUAGGUACCCCCAAAACACUUGCUGAGUGACUGAAGAAAGAACUUUCGGCUUCCAGUAACAGCAGGCUAGAUUAUCUGGGCCUAUCGUUGCACUGAAAACAACUAAAAAUGAUGAAUAAAUUAAAUAUAUAUAGCACUAAAGACAUGGCAGUAUAAAAGGAAAUUGACAGGCCAAAAUCGAGAGGAAAGACAUCCAGAGAGGUAAGGAAGAAUAGAAGCCACUUUUUUUGAUCUCCAAAAAUUUGAAUUUUCAGAUGAAUACCAUAUGAUCUCACCUUUAAGAGGAAGCUAAACGACAAAACAAACAAGCAAACAAAAUAAAAACAAAGACACUGAA
This is a long non-coding RNA of Artibeus jamaicensis (Jamaican fruit-eating bat), 2869 nucleotides long. RefSeq lists it as uncharacterized. Lineage: Eukaryota; Metazoa; Chordata; Mammalia; Chiroptera; Phyllostomidae. The record is from RefSeq and is a predicted model, not a curated record. The transcript is spliced from 3 exons.